RNAcentral lists this unclassified non-coding RNA (283 nucleotides) under Hevea brasiliensis (rubber tree). The record is from RNAcentral. Lineage: Eukaryota; Viridiplantae; Streptophyta; Magnoliopsida; Malpighiales; Euphorbiaceae.
GCUAACCUUUAUAUUGACAUUGCGAUAACUUUGGAUCUCAUUUCUUCUAUGAAUGAAAAUUAUGGGCAUGACUUGUAUCCUUGGCAGCUAUCGGAGAAGAUGGCUUGUGGGGGCUUGUUACUUGAGGGUGACAAUUAUGAGUUCUGGGUGGCACUAGGGUGUUUAUCUGGACAUAAUGCAAUGAGACAACAUGCCUUGAUCAGGGGAUUGCAAUUGGAUGUAUCAUCAGCUUUUGCUUGGUCAUAUCUUGGGAAGGUACUGCCUCUAUGUCUUUUGAAUUCUA